RNAcentral lists this unclassified non-coding RNA (214 nucleotides) under soil metagenome. Its description in RNAcentral is "partial internal transcribed spacer 1". The record is from RNAcentral.
AAAGUUGUUCGAGGCGGCCCCAGGCAUCGCCAGGUGGCCGCUUAGACAUCAACACCCUCUGUAUAUCUACCGCGUUGCUUUGGCGGGACGGCAGCCAGCAGCCCCGCUGGGAAGCUGUCCGUAGGGCUCUGUCCAAGGGCCCCGCGAGCGCCCGCCAGAGAACCGUCAAACUCAUGUUAAACCGUGGCGUCUGAGCUUUACAAGCAAUAAGUUA